This is a non-coding RNA of Sus scrofa (pig), 72 nucleotides long. The record is from Rfam. NCBI's taxonomy places the organism in Eukaryota, Metazoa, Chordata, Mammalia, Artiodactyla, Suidae.
UCCCUGGUGGUUUAGAAGUUAGGAUUUGGUGCUUUCACCACUGUGGCCUAGGUUCAAUCCCUGGUCUAGGAA